CCUACGGGCGGCAGCAGUAGGGAAUUUUCGUCAAUGGGCGCAAGCCUGAACGAGCGAUGCCGCGUGAGUGAAGAAGGCCUUCGGGUCGUAAAGCUCUGUUGCGGGGGAAAAAAGGCAGCAUCAGGAAAUGGGUGCUGACUGAUGGUGCCCCGCCAGAAAGUCACGGCUAACUACGUGCAAGCAGCCGCGGUAAAACGGAGGUGGCGAGAGUAAUCCGGAAUGAUUGGGCGAAAAGGUUGAGCAGGCGGUCCGGCAAGUCUGGAGUGAAACGAAUGGGCUCAACUCAUGAAUGGCUUUGGAAGCUGGAGGACUGGAGAGCAGGAGAGGGCGGUGGAAUUCCAGGUGUAGGAGUGAAAUCCGUAGAUAUCUGGAGGAACAUCAGUGGCGAAGGCGACUAUCUGGCACAUAACUGACGCUGAGGAGCGAAAGCGUGGGUAGCAAACAGGAUUAGAUACCCCGGUAGUC
This 465-nucleotide ribosomal RNA is filed under the name uncultured bacterium. RNAcentral's name for it is "partial 16S ribosomal RNA". It matches the Rfam family "Bacterial small subunit ribosomal RNA", at positions 338 to 795 of the family's 1533-position model. The record is from RNAcentral.